This 103-nucleotide ribosomal RNA is filed under the name Hyella patelloides LEGE 07179. The record is from RNAcentral. Lineage: Bacteria; Bacillati; Cyanobacteriota; Cyanophyceae; Pleurocapsales; Pleurocapsaceae.
UAAUGGAACCACUUCGACUCCAUCUCGAACUCGACAGUGAAACGUUAUUGCGGCGAAGAUACUUGGGGGGUAGCCCCCUGGGAAAAUAGUUCAGUGCCAGGUU